RNAcentral lists this ribosomal RNA (468 nucleotides) under uncultured bacterium. RNAcentral's name for it is "partial 16S ribosomal RNA". It matches the Rfam family "Bacterial small subunit ribosomal RNA", at positions 28 to 507 of the family's 1533-position model. The record is from RNAcentral.
GACGAACGCUGGCGGCGUGCUUAACACAUGCAAGUCGAACGGAAAGGCCCUGCUUUUGUGGGGUGCUCGAGUGGCGAACGGGUGAGUAACACGUGAGUAACCUGCCCUUGACUUUGGGAUAACUUCAGGAAACUGGGGCUAAUACCGUAUAGGAGCUCCUGCUGCAUGGUGGGGGUUGGAAAGUUUCGGCGGUUGGGGAUGGACUCGCGGCUUAUCAGCUUGUUGGUGGGGUAGUGGCUUACCAAGGCUUUGACGGGUAGCCGGCCUGAGAGGGUGACCGGCCACAUUGGGACUGAGAUACGGACCAGACUGCUACGGGAGGCAGCAGUGGGGAAUAUUGCACAAUGGGCGGAAGCCUGAUGCAGCAACGCCGCGUGCGGGAUGACGGCCUUCGGGUUGUAAACCGCUUUCGCCUGUGACGAAGCGUGAGUGACGGUAAUGGGUAAAGAAGCACCGGCUAACUACGUG